UUUCCGGUUGAUCCUGCCGCCGGGCACCGCUAUUGGAGUUCGCUUAAGCCAUGCGAGUCGAGAGGGGUAAGCCCUCGGCGCACUGCUCAGUAACACGCGGACAAUCUGCCCUCGAGACGGGGAUAAUCCCGGGAAACUGGGGAUAAUACCCGAUAGGUCUGGGAUGAUGGAAGGCUCCCUGGCCAAAAUCUUCCGGGGCUCGAGGAUGGGUCUGCGGCCUAUCAGGUCGUAGGGGGUUUUACGGACCCCCUAGCCGAAGACGGGUACGGGCUUUGGGAGAAGUCGCCCGGAGAUGGAUUCUGAGACACGAAUCCAGGUCCUACGGGACGCAGCAGGCGCGAAACCUCCACAAUGUGGGCAACCACGAUGGGGGAACUCCAAGUGCUUACACUUUUGUGUAAGCUGUUCUCGAGCCUAAAAAGCUCGAGAAGUAAGGGCCGGGUAAGACGGGUGCCAGCCGCCGCGGUAAUACCCGCGGCCCGAGUGGUGCUCAUUAUUAUUGAGCCUAAAGCGUCCGUAGCUGGCCGGGCAAAUCUCCGGGUAAAUCGGGCCGCUCAACGGUCCGAAUUCCGGAGACACUGCUCGGCUUGGGAUCGGGAGAGGGUGAAGGUACUCCCGGGGUAGGGGUAAAAUCCUGUAAUCCUGGGGGGACCACCAGUGGCGAAGGCGUUCACCUAGAACGAAUCCGACAGUGAGGGACGAAGCCCUAGGGCGCAAACGGGAUUAGAUACCCCGGUAGUCUAGGGUGUAAACGCUGCAGACUUGGUGUUGGGGGUCCUGCGUGGGCUCCCAGUGCCGGGGCGAAGGUGUUGAGUCUGCCGCUUGGGGAGUACGGUCGCAAGACUGAAACUUAAAGGAAUUGGCGGGAGAGCACCGCAACGGGAGGAGCGUGCGGUUCAAUUGGAUUCAACGCCGGA
RNAcentral lists this ribosomal RNA (917 nucleotides) under uncultured archaeon. Its description in RNAcentral is "bacterial SSU rRNA". It matches the Rfam family "Archaeal small subunit ribosomal RNA", at positions 1 to 922 of the family's 1478-position model. The record is from RNAcentral.